Molecule: ribosomal RNA, 254 nt
Filed under: uncultured bacterium
Lineage: Bacteria
Description: partial 16S ribosomal RNA
Rfam family: Bacterial small subunit ribosomal RNA
Source: RNAcentral
UACGAAGGGGGCUAGCGUUGUUCGGAAUUACUGGGCGUAAAGCGCGUGUAGGCGGGUCUUUAAGUCAGGGGUGAAAUGCCAAGGCUCAACCUUGGAACUGCCUUUGAUACUGGAGACCUUGAGUCCGGGGAGAGGUGAGUGGAAUUGCGAGUGUAGAGGUGAAAUUCGUAGAUAUUCGCAAGAACACCAGUGGCGAAGGCGGCUCACUGGCCCGGAACUGACGCUGAGACGCGAAAGCGUGGGGAGCAAACAGG